AACGAACGCUGGCGGCAUGCCUAACACAUGCAAGUCGAACGGGACCUUCGGGUCUAGUGGCGCACGGGUGCGUAACGCGUGGGGAUCUGCCCUUAGGUACGGAAUAACUCAGGGAAACUUGAGCUAAUACCGUAUAAUGACUUCGGUCCAAAGAUUUAUCGCCUAGGGAUGAACCCCGCGUAGGAUUAGCUUGUUGGUGAGGUAAAGGCUCACCAAGGCGACGAUCCUUAGCUGGUCUGAGAGGAUGAUCAGCCACACUGGGACUGAGACACGGCCCAGACUCCUACGGGAGGCAGCAGUGGGGAAUAUUGGACAAUGGGCGAAAGCCUGAUCCAGCAAUGCCGCGUGAGUGAUGAAGG
RNAcentral lists this ribosomal RNA (359 nucleotides) under uncultured bacterium. Its description in RNAcentral is "bacterial SSU rRNA". It matches the Rfam family "Bacterial small subunit ribosomal RNA", at positions 29 to 414 of the family's 1533-position model. The record is from RNAcentral.